This 105-nucleotide ribosomal RNA is filed under the name Verrucomicrobia bacterium TMED40. RNAcentral describes it as "partial 23S ribosomal RNA". Lineage: Bacteria; Pseudomonadati; Verrucomicrobiota. The record is from RNAcentral.
UGGAGGUUUCCUGCAUCUUUACAUUGGUGUUAGGAAAAACAUAUUUAGUAUAGGAGGGAGACAUUGAAGCGAAGGCGUCAGCUUUUGUGGAGUCACCAGUGAAAU